AUGACUGGGAGGCAUCAGGAAACUUACAAUCAUAGCAGAAGGCAAAGGGAAAACAAGCAUGUCUUACCAUGGUGGAGCAGGAGAGAGGGAGAGAGAAGGGGAAGCUGUGUUUGCAGACUACGAACAGAGAAAUUGUCUCCACUGCUCACUGACCCUAACCCACUGGGUAUCUGGCUAAAGUAGAAGAGCCACACACCUGAGGGGAGGGUGCUUGCUCUGAACACACAGCUUCAAGGACGUUCUGCUCAAAUGGAAACGCUCUAGACUGUAGCUAAGACUUUCAUUCAUCCAGAUAUUUACAUUUUGAUGGACUUCCCUCCUGAUAUUUUUGUCAAUAAAGGAGAAAAUCAUUUCUCCUUAGAGCAUUUGGAAUUGGAAAAAUAAACGUGCUGAGUGCAGCUGAGACUUCUAAGCCUUUGACAUUUUUCAGUGGCAGGAUGGAGGGUCCGCAUGGAUGGUCAGACUUGAGGGCUUGAACACUUAGUCUGAGCGUCUGCAAAACCUGGAUACUCACUCCAUAUACCACCUGCUAGGAACUAAUUUUCUUGUCAUUUCAUAAAAAAGAUUCCCAAUCUUCUAGACAAGUUGCAAGAA
RNAcentral lists this long non-coding RNA (594 nucleotides) under Callithrix jacchus (white-tufted-ear marmoset). RNAcentral's name for it is "lncRNA (ENSCJAG00000080777.1)". The record is from RNAcentral. Lineage: Eukaryota; Metazoa; Chordata; Mammalia; Primates; Cebidae.